This is a long non-coding RNA of Mobula hypostoma (lesser devil ray), 339 nucleotides long. RefSeq lists it as uncharacterized. The record is from RefSeq and is a predicted model, not a curated record. The transcript has 3 exons. NCBI's taxonomy places the organism in Eukaryota, Metazoa, Chordata, Chondrichthyes, Myliobatiformes, Myliobatidae.
AACAGAAGUAACGUUUUGGAUUGCAAACACGAGAUUCGACGAUGCUGAAAAUCCAGAGCAACGUACACAAAAUGUUGGAGGAACUCUGCAGUUUUACAACAUCAAAUCUUCCAUUGCAAAACAUUAAAUUACAUCAUCUUUCAAGUGAGGAUGUUGCACAACGUAAGACACUUCAUGAAAGAGAUUACAUCUUUGCAACACUUUAUUCAGAACAAAUUACUCUAUACAUUCCUGUUCAACAUCUUGGCAUUUCCAAGUAAUUGCAGUCAUGAAACAGAAUAUUGGAACAUUGGAAAGGAUAACACAUAUUUUGAGCUUCUCAUGAGAAGGCGAACUUAU